Molecule: long non-coding RNA, 369 nt
Organism: Argiope bruennichi
Lineage: Eukaryota; Metazoa; Arthropoda; Arachnida; Araneae; Araneidae
Exons: 3
Source: RefSeq, a predicted model, not a curated record
CUUAGAUGAAAAAUCAAAAAGUGAAAUUACAUCGAACCAAAAGAUAACAAAAAUGAAGGUAUCCAGAAAACCCAUGCGAUCUUCAAUAUGUUGUUGGAACAUGCACCGAAUCUCACACUCGUUACUACUACGACGUGAAUGACAAAGUCUGCAAGAAGUUCACAUAUGGAGGUUGUGAAGGCAACAAGAACAACUUCGAAUCUAAGAAGGAAUGCGAGAAGAGAUGCAAAAAAGUCUGAAGAAAGAAGGCCUUUUUAUCCUUUUUGGAAAGGCUCGUUUUGGAUUUGCUGAUAACUACAAAAUGAAAUGAUGAUCUCAAAGUACCAUGACCAAAUUUUUUUUGGGAAAUAGAUUUUUUUUUAAGAAAGA